UCUCCGUUGGUGAACCAGCUGAGGGAUCAUUACAGGACUCGCAAGACUCCUUCACCCUGUGAACCUCACUACAAGCACGUUGCUUCGGCGGGUGUCCCGGCGGGGGUUUUCCCUCGCCGGGGCGCACAGCCCGCCGGCAGCCUACUAUACUCUGUCUCUUUGCGUUGGCAUCUCGAGAAAAAACAAACAAGUUAAAACUUUCAACAACGGAUCUCUUGGUUCUG
RNAcentral lists this unclassified non-coding RNA (224 nucleotides) under plant metagenome. RNAcentral describes it as "partial contains small subunit ribosomal RNA, internal transcribed spacer 1, and 5.8S ribosomal RNA". The record is from RNAcentral.